AAGCGGAAUGAAACCUUCAAGGCUGCGGCCCAGGGGCCUGAGGCAGACACCCAGGAGCAGGAGGUAAAUGAAGACUUUUUCAUCCCUUGCUGGAGCCACCAACCCAAACAGAGCUUGUUCCCUCUCUGUUCUGCCUAUACCAGCUCGGAGGGAGAGGGAGUGUCAUCUGCCAGGAGAGACUGAAGGGACCAGGGAAAGCCCUCCCAGCGCAUCCCCCAACUCAGCGCCUGAGCAUUCCCCUUUAGCAAAGCUUCCUUUGAGAGCCUCUCUGCACAGCUGUCUUGGGGAAGGGUUUCACGUCUCUGCAGCUCCAGCUGCAGGGGGCAGUAGGGUUUUGGGUUUGAAAGUAUCUGAGAAACAUAAAGUCUCAGGGAAGAUGGAAGGCAAGUGGGGUGGGGGCUGGGGAGGAUAUCUGUGGUUUGAGUUCAGAUUUGAGCUGAACUCUGGCUUGCUGGGUGACUGCUGAGUCAUUUGACCUCUCUGGGCCUCAGUUUCCUCACUUAUACAAUAGGAAUAAUGGUAACUAACCUAUCAUAAGGUCUCGAUCAUGUCAGUCAGCUUCCUGUAGAAGCCCCAGGGAAGCCCAACACACAGAAUCCCUGCCACAGCAGGUGGGCACAGGGCCCCAGGCCCUGGGAGGAUGGGCGGAAGAGGGUCACCAAGGGCCCAUUCCUGCCCAACUCCCCUUAACCCACAGCUGCAGUCUGAGGAGCUGGGCCUCCGGGCACCGCAGUGGGUCCGGGACAAGAUGGUGACCAUGUGCAUGCGCUGCCAGGAGCCCUUCAACGCUCUGACGCGCCGUCGCCACCACUGCCGGGCCUGCGGCUAUGUGGUGUGUGCCAGGUGCUCCGACUACCGGGCCGAGCUGAAAUACGACGACAACAGGCCCAACCGAGUCUGCCUCCACUGCUACGCAUUCCUCACCGGAAACGUGCUGCCUGAGGCCAAGGAGGACAAGAGGCGGGGCAUCCUGGAGAAAGGGUCCUCGGCCACGCCUGACCAGAGCCUGAUGUGCAGCUUCCUGCAGCUCAUCGGGGACAAGUGGGGCAAGAGCGGCCCCCGGGGCUGGUGUGUGAUCCCUCGGGAUGACCCCCUCGUGCUCUAUGUCUACGCUGCCCCUCAGGUAAGGCCACCACCUGCCCGCCCCCUAUCAGGCCCUGGCCUUCCCACAGCGUGUGUGUGAAGGGGGUCAGGGGUGAUGUCAGAUAGGGAAACUGAGGCCCAAUGAGGAUGUGGUAUCCUGGAGUCUCAAGGUUGGUAGGUUUCAGAAUUGGGCCCUGACUCUAGGUCACCACUGCUUUGCCCUCAGAGGCAGCCAGUUCUUCUCUCCUCUUCCUCGAUGUCCUUCACCAGCCCACUCCCAACCCAUGGGGGUUUAGGGUGUGAGCUGCGCGUGCAUGGCUGUUGUUCUGGGGCAGUAGGACUGAGAGGGGACAGUGGCCCACUGCUCUCUCCUCCCCCCAGGACAUGAGGGCUCACACCUCUAUCCCCCUGCUGGGCUACCAGGUGACUGUUGGGCCCCAGGGGGACCCUCGGGUCUUCCAGCUACAGCAGUCAGGCCAGCUCUACACCUUCAAGGCCGAGACGGAGGAGCUGAAGGGCCGCUGGGUGAAGGCCAUGGAGCGGGCGGCCAGUGGCUGGAGCCCCAGCUGGCCCAACGGCGGGGACCUGUCUGACUGAGCCACUGCCAGCCACUGCCAGCCACUCUCCUGCCUACCUCUCCCCACCCUGAACCCAGCUCCUGCCACAGACUGACCCUGUGGCCUCAGUGUCCCACUGCCCCAAGCGGUGCUUUCAGAGAAUUGAUUCAGCCAUCUGCGCCCAGGCCACGUGUCCCGAUCUGGGAUUCAGAAAAUAUGGGUCCAUUCCUUUCUAGAAAGGGGACAACCAAGUGUCUCAGUUUGCCUUGCGGGGAGGGGGCUCCUGGGCCAUGGGACUUCCAGUGCUAAAACUGGGAAAGCCCCAGGUAACCCCGGACUGGUGGUCACCGUAGUGUGGUUUUUCAUUUGUAUCUCCUGGGGAGCUUUUAAAGAGUACUGGUGAAAAACACAUAGUAAAUUAAUUUUAAAAAUGUAAAAAACAAUGCCUGUACUGAAUACCACCAACAAUUUAAUUGGUCUGAGAUGGGGGAGGCAUGGGGUCUUUUUUUUUUUUUUUUUUUGAGACAAAGUCUUACUCUGUUGCCCAGGCUGGAGUGCACAAACAUGGCUCACAACAGCCUCGAUCUCCCGGGCUCCAGUGAUCCUCCCACCUCAGCCUCCCAAGUAGCUGGGACUAUAGGUGUGUGCCACUGUGCCAAGCUAAUUUUUUUAUUUUUUGUAGAGGUGGGAUUUCACCAUGUUACUCAGGCUGGUCUCAAACUCCUGGCCUCAAGCGAUGCUCCCACCUCCACCUCCCAAAGUGCUGGGAUUACAGGCGUGAGCCACCAUACCUGGCGCAUGCAUAUUUUUUAAGAGUGCCCACUGGAGUCUAAUAUAUAGCCUGGGUUACCUGGGAUGAAGAAUAAAGAGAGCAAACUACCGCAACCAAUGGUUGAGCCCCUGUCAAAUGCCAGUCACGAUAGUACUACUAAUAAUAAUAAGCAUGUGUUGGGCCAGG
Molecule: small RNA, 2598 nt
Filed under: Pongo abelii (Sumatran orangutan)
Lineage: Eukaryota; Metazoa; Chordata; Mammalia; Primates; Hominidae
Description: retained intron
Source: RNAcentral